CACCCAGGGCGAUCUACGAGGACGCCCCAGCUACCGGGCGACGAAUGCGGACGCGCAGAGGGCGCUGAGAGGCCAUCCGCGCCGUCCCGCCUCUCCCCGGUCCGCGGGGCUCUCUGCUAACAACCUCACAAAACCAGGACCGGGACUGGGAAGGACAGUGAACAUUCCAGAGAAUUUCUGCAUGACCAGCUGUUCAUCCUUUUAACAGAAUGACAUUCUUCAGCUCAUUUGGAAAGGGCACUUCCUUUAAAUCUGUAAUUCUGAGUCUGUGAGGGCAGGUGUAUUUGAAAGAUAUUUCAUAUGGAAAAACACAAACUGGAUUGGAUAAAAAAUGAGGUGUAAUCUGAAAGCCCAAGUUAUUUUCUUAGGAAAAAGUCAACCGUGUUUGGUGUUAUCUAACCUACAGUGUAUCAGGAUGCAACAAAUGCGUUCUAUUUUCCUAAAUUAUUUGAAAACGAACAGCCAGCACAAUUUUCAAAAGUACCCAUUAUAACUAGUUGGGUAUUUCACGACAAUUUAGUAAUUUUGUAAACAGCUCAGAAGUAAAUCUACAAUGUGCCCUCACUGACCACAGUGCGUUGAUGACUGUAAAUCUUAGUAUAAAAACUUUGUAGAUCAGU
Molecule: long non-coding RNA, 620 nt
Organism: Galeopterus variegatus (Sunda flying lemur)
Lineage: Eukaryota; Metazoa; Chordata; Mammalia; Dermoptera; Cynocephalidae
Exons: 2
Source: RefSeq, a predicted model, not a curated record